CAAGAUCAGUAGCGAGAAUGUUGACAUGAGUAGCGACAAAGAGGGUGAGAGACCCUCUCGCCGAAAGUCCAAGGGUUCCUGCUUAAAGCUAAUCUGAGCAGGGUGAGCCGGCCCCUAAGGCGAGGCCGAAAGGCGUAGUCGAUGGGAACUAGGUUAAUAUUCCUAGGCCAGUGGGAAGUGACGGAUCUCGAAGGUUGUCUGCCCUUAUCGGAUUGGGUGGGCCGCUUAGAGGUUCCUGGAAAUAGCCCCACAUCAGACCGUACCCUAAACCGACACAGGUGGACUGGUAGAGUAUACCAAGGCGCUUGAGAGAACCACGUUAAAGGAACUCGGCAAAAUGCCUCCGUAAGUUCGCGAGAAGGAGGCCCCAUCAGUAGGCAACUGUUGGUGGGGGGCACAAACUAGGGGGUGGCGACUGUUUACUUAAAACACAGGGCUGUGCGAAGCCGUAAGGCGACGUAUACAGUCUGACGCCUGCCCGGUGCUGGAAGAUUAAGAGGAGGGGUGCAAGCUCUGAAUUGAAGUCCCAGUAAACGGCGGCCGUAACGAUAACGGUCCUAAGGUAGCGAAAUUCCUUGUCGGGUAAGUUCCGACCUGCACGAAUGGCGUAACGAUCUCCCCGCUGUCUCUAACGUGGACUCAGCGAAAUUGAACUGUGUGUCAAGAUGCACACUUCCCGCGGUUAGACGGAAAGACCCCAUGCACCUUUACUCUAGCUUUGCACUGGCAUCAGGAUUGUGAUGUGCAGGAUAGGUGGUAGGCAUUGAAGCGGGGACGCCAGUCUUCGUGGAGCCUCCCUUGAGAUACCACCCUUCGCACUCUUGAUGUCUAACCGCGGCCCGUUAUCCGGGUCCGGGACCCUGCAUGGUGGGGAGUUUGACUGGGGCGGUCGCCUCCUAAACAGUAACGGAGGCGCGCGAUGGUUGGCUCAGACCGGUCGGAAAUCGGUCGUUGAGUGCAAUGGCAGAAGCCAGCCUGACUGCAAGUCUGACAAGGCGAGCAGAGACGAAAGUCGGUCAUAGUGAUCCGGUGGUCCCAAGUGGGAGGGCCAUCGCUCAACGGAUAAAAGGUACGCUGGGGAUAACAGGCUGAUGAUGCCCAAGAGUCCAUAUCGACGGCAUCGUUUGGCACCUCGAUGUCGGCUCAUCUCAUCCUGGGGCUGGAGCAGGUCCCAAGGGUAUGGCUGUUCGCCAUUUAAAGAGGUACGUGAGCUGGGUUCAGAACGUCGUGAGACAGUUCGGUCCCUAUCUGCCGUGGGUGUAGGAGACUUGAGAAGAGUUGCCCCUAGUACGAGAGGACCGGGGUGAACGAACCACUGGUGGACCAGUUAUCGUGCCAACGGUAGUGCUGGGUAGCUAUGUUCGGACAGGAUAAACGCUGAAGGCAUCUAAGCGUGAAGCCCCCUUCAAAACAAGGUCUCCCUUGAGAGCCGUGGAAGACCACCACGUCGAUAGGCCGGAGGUGUAAGUGCAGCAAUGCAUUCAGCUGACCGGUACUAAUUGCUCAAA
Molecule: ribosomal RNA, 1508 nt
Filed under: metagenome
Description: bacterial LSU rRNA
Rfam family: Bacterial large subunit ribosomal RNA
Source: RNAcentral